This 651-nucleotide long non-coding RNA is filed under the name Salvia miltiorrhiza (redroot sage). Its description in RNAcentral is "long non-coding RNA (SMIL_LNC005671)". Lineage: Eukaryota; Viridiplantae; Streptophyta; Magnoliopsida; Lamiales; Lamiaceae. The record is from RNAcentral.
ACGGCGGCGGUGGGCGAAUUCUGAGGACAAAGCUAGGGCUCGUCCUAUAAAGAGAGAGAGAGAGAACGAGCGAGGAAAAAGGAGACAAUGAACAAGGAGGAAGUAGGACCGACCUCGCCAGUCUCCUAGGGGCGGCGGCUCGCCGGAUGUGAGAAAGAAAGAAGGGGCGAUUCCUUGUGAAGGGCUAGGGCUCACAAUUUUGCAGAAAGAGGGUAGCUUAGAUUGAGAAAUUGAGAAUGACAUUGAGAGGGAGGAAAACGGGCGAUAGGCGGCUCCCUCAGCCGGGGGAGGCGCUCGCCGGAGGAGAAGCGGCGCUGGCGAGUUUUGGAAGAGAGGCUGCUGAUUUGGGCGGAGGAAUUGAGGAACAGAAGUAGGAGGCUGUUUCCAGCCGUGAAAAUGAGAGAGAGAGAAAGAACCGAGAUAUCAUAUCUCUUGGUUGGGCCACUUUGAUUAGUUGGACUGGAGUUUAAUAUGAUGGGUUGAUUCUUUUCAUUGAGUGGGCUCAAACAAUGGUGAUUUUUAGGCCCAGAUUUCCUCAAAUACUUAUCAAGUGGGUUAGAAUACAAUAAAAUGAGUUUAUUAAUUAAGAUUAAUGAUCUGAUUUCAUUAGACGAGCUUAAAUCCUAUAGUUGGAUUAUUAUUAGAAUUUUC